RNAcentral lists this ribosomal RNA (635 nucleotides) under uncultured fungus. RNAcentral's name for it is "eukaryotic LSU rRNA". The stretch from base 224 to 377 matches the Rfam family "5.8S ribosomal RNA". The record is from RNAcentral. Lineage: Eukaryota; Fungi.
UCCGUAGGUGAACCUGCGGAAGGAUCAUUAAUGAAACUUCAAAGUCGGCUUGUCUAUCUGUGCUGGUGGAGACACAUGUGCACGUUGGCAGGUCGCAAAUCCACACACCUGUGCAUCUAUGACUCUGAGUACCGCUUUGCAUGGCCCUUAGGGGCCUGGUACUCGAGUACUUUACACACUCUGAAUGUAAUGGAAUGUCUUUUGUACAAUGUACAACUAAAACAACUUUCAACAACGGAUCUCUUGGCUCUCGCAUCGAUGAAGAACGCAGCGAAAUGCGAUAAGUAAUGUGAAUUGCAGAAUUCAGUGAAUCAUCGAAUCUUUGAACGCACCUUGCACCCUUUGGUAUUCCGAAGGGUACACCCGUUUGAGUGUCAUUGUAAUCUCACUACAACUACUUUGUUGUUUGUAUGUGGAUCUGGAUGUUGCCGUGUAACAAACGGCUCGUCUGAAUGCCUGAGUGUACCCUGCUUUUGCGGCGUAUUCGGUGUGAUAAAUCUUCACCGGAGUUGACUUUCGGGUCGGCGUCUGGCUUAACAUGGGGCUCUAUGGCUUCCAACCGGUCCUAACAAGGACAACCUUUGGACAAUUUGGGACCUCAAAUCGGGGGGGGUGGGGACUACCCCUGAACUUAA